GUUUACAUUGGGAGUAAAGUGGCGGACGGGUGAGUAACACGUUGGUGACCUGCCCCGAGGAGGGGGAUAACUGUGGGGAAACCAUAGCUAAUACCCCAGAAGUUGAGAAGUUUAGACGCACUCAACUAAAGUUACGGCGCCUCGGGAGGGGCCUGCGGGCUAUCAGCUAGUUGGUGGGGUAAUGGCCUACCAAGGCAAAGACGGCGUAGGGGGCGUGAGAGCGCGACCCCCCACAAUGGGACUGAGACACGGCCCAU
This 257-nucleotide ribosomal RNA is filed under the name uncultured bacterium. RNAcentral describes it as "partial 16S ribosomal RNA". It matches the Rfam family "Bacterial small subunit ribosomal RNA", at positions 77 to 334 of the family's 1533-position model. The record is from RNAcentral.